RNAcentral lists this ribosomal RNA (253 nucleotides) under uncultured bacterium. RNAcentral describes it as "partial 16S ribosomal RNA". It matches the Rfam family "Bacterial small subunit ribosomal RNA", at positions 524 to 776 of the family's 1533-position model. The record is from RNAcentral.
UACGAAGGGGGCUAGCGUUGCUCGGAAUGACUGGGCGUAAAGGGCGCGUAGGCGGAUGGCACAGUCAGAUGUGAAAUUCCCGGGCUUAACCUGGGAACUGCAUUUGUGACUGCAUCGCUGGAGUGCGGCAGAGGGGGAUGGAAUUCCGCGUGUAGCAGUGAAAUGCGUAGAUAUCCGGAGGAACACCAAUGGCGAAGGCAGUGUCCUGGGAAGUACCUGACGCUCAGGUGCGAAAGCUAGGGGAGCGAACAGG